RNAcentral lists this transfer RNA (77 nucleotides) under Erwinia billingiae. RNAcentral's name for it is "tRNA-Val". It matches the Rfam family "tRNA". Rfam says of the family: Transfer RNA (tRNA) molecules are approximately 80 nucleotides in length. The record is from RNAcentral. Lineage: Bacteria; Pseudomonadati; Pseudomonadota; Gammaproteobacteria; Enterobacterales; Erwiniaceae. RNAcentral also lists the same sequence under 4 other names.
GCGUUCUUAGCUCAGUUGGUUAGAGCACUACCUUGACAUGGUAGGGGUCGGAGGUUCGAGUCCUCUAGAACGCACCA